UGAAUACGAGACGCUACGGCGUCGAAGCAGUGUAUGUCAGACUUCCAAGAAAAGCUCGCUAUGUCAUAAAUGAAAAAUGCCUGUACUAUAACCGACACAGGUGGGUAGGUAGAGUAUACUAAGGGGCGCGAGAUAACUCUCUCUAAGGAACUCGGCAAAAUAACUCCGUAACUUCGGGAGAAGGAGUGCCUUAUUUAUAAGGUUGCAAUAACAAGAUCCAAGCAACUGUUUAUCAAAAACACAGGUCUCCGCUAAGUCGUAAGACGAUGUAUGGGGGCUGACGCCUGCCCAGUGCCAGAAGGUUAAAGAAGUUGGUUAGUUUCGACGAAGCUGAUGACUGAAGCCCUGGUGAACGGCGGCCGUAACGAUAACGGUCCUAAGGUAGCGAAAUUCCUUGUCGGGUAAGUUCCGACCCGCACGAAAGGCGUAAUGAUUUGGAUACUGUCUCGGAGAGGGACUCGGUGAAAUAGACUUGUCUGUGAAGAUGCGGACUACCUGCACCAGGACAGAAAGACCCUAUGAAGCUUUACUGUAACUUGAAAUUGAAAUUGGACUUUGUUUGCGCAGUAUAGGUGGGAGGCGUUGAGAAUAUUCUUGCGGGAAUAUUGGAGCCAUCAGUGAGAUACCACUCCUAUAAUGUUAGAUUUCUAACUUUGUAUCAUAAUCUGGUCAAAGAACAGUUUCAGGCGGGCAGUUUGACUGUGGCGGUCGCCUCCCAAAUGGUAACGGAGGCGUACAAAGGUUUCCUCUGAACGGGUAGAAAUCGUAUCUAGAGUAUAAAGGCAUAAGGAAGCUUGACUGUGAGACCUACAAGUCGAGCAGGGACGAAAGUCGGUCUUAGUGAUCUGACGGUGCUGAGUGGAAAGGCCGUCACUCAACGGAUAAAAGUUACUCUAAGGAUAACAGGCUGAUCUCCCCCAAGAGUUCACAUCGACGGGGAGGUUUGGCACCUCGAUGUCGGCUCAUCGCAUCCUGGGGCGGUAGUACGUCCCAAGGGUUGGGCUGUUCGCCCAUGAAAGCGGUACGCGAGCUGGGUUCAGAACGUCGUGAGACAGUUCGGUCCAUAUCCGGUGUAGGCGUUAGAAUAUUGAGAGGAGCCUUCUUUAGUACGAGAGGACCGAGAAGGACAUACCUCUGGUGUACCAGUUAUCGUGCCAACGGUAAACGCUGGGUAGCUAUGUAUGGAGAGGAUAACCGCUGAAAGCAUCUAAGUGGGAAGCCCACCUCAAGAUGAGUAUUCUCAC
Molecule: ribosomal RNA, 1244 nt
Filed under: metagenome
Description: bacterial LSU rRNA
Rfam family: Bacterial large subunit ribosomal RNA
Source: RNAcentral